AUGGCGCAUCCGCCCCCGCGGAACUGGGCCAUGGCGCCGCCGUACCACUACCACGGGACGUCGCAGCAGGAGCAGGCGGCGCCAGCCGCGGAGGACGAGAGCGGAGCCGGGUCCGGAGGGCAGGAGGCGGAGUCGAGGUCACUCCGGAUCCGCGAACUUUUCCCCUGGAUGGACGAGGACUACCUGCGCAGCUGCUUCACCCGCUCGCCCGAGCUUGUGACAGCAGUGAUAACGCGGAACAAGGAGACCAAGCAAUCUGAGGGUUUCGGUUAUCUUACCUUUUCUGACCAUGCCACUGCUGACCAAAUCCUCCAGAGCUACAAUGGCCAGAAGAUGCCUAAUGCUGACAGGGAUUUCAGCCUCAGCUGGGUCCAGUAUGCUGGUCCUGAUGAUGAUUGUGCCAUAUAUGUUGGGGGAUUGGGCUUUGAUGUUACAGACUUCAUGCUACACCACGUGUUCAAGAAUCGCUAUCCAUCAGUUAAGAGGGCAAAAGUUAUAUGGGAUUUUCUUGCUAGACGCUCAAAAGGCUAUGGGUUUGUUGUGUUUGGAGAUGUCAAUGAACGCACACAAGCAAUGACUGAAAUGAAUGGAGCAUACUGUUCUUCUAGGCCUAUGCGUAUCGGACCUGCUACCUUCAAGAGUGAUUUUCGUACACAAGGGACAUAUUCUGAUUCUAACCAGAACAAUAGCAGACUUUUUGUUGGUCAACUUGAUUCAUGUGUGACUGAUGAGGAUCUAGAUAAAGCCUUCAGUCCUUAUGGAGAGCUUACUGUCAAGGUAAUAGAGGGGAAGAACUGUGGCUUCGUCACAUAUUCGAGCAGGGCAUCAGCUGUGGAGGCUAUGACAAUUCUAAAUGGAAGCCAGCUGGGAGAUAAUAUCAUAACAGUUAACUGGGCUCGUCCUGCUCCUAAGAAGCAGGAUCAAUGGAAUGGUGUGGACCAUGGACACCCUCAAAGCUCUGGUCCAGGUUAUGGUUGCUGUCCCGAGGAUCCUAACAUUCUUGGUUACACAGGCCAUCCUGGAUAUGCAUAUCACCAACAGCAGCAGCCACAGCAGACCCCAGUACAGUGA
This 1071-nucleotide ribosomal RNA is filed under the name Triticum aestivum (bread wheat). Its description in RNAcentral is "partial small subunit ribosomal RNA". Lineage: Eukaryota; Viridiplantae; Streptophyta; Magnoliopsida; Poales; Poaceae. The record is from RNAcentral.